GAGAUUUCUAAGCGAGCUGCUAAAUCGCCCCUCCGGGCCUGAACUCCCGGACAUCUC
RNAcentral lists this transfer RNA (57 nucleotides) under Agama picticauda. Its description in RNAcentral is "tRNA-Ser". The record is from RNAcentral. Lineage: Eukaryota; Metazoa; Chordata; Lepidosauria; Squamata; Agamidae.